This 915-nucleotide ribosomal RNA is filed under the name Phoma sp. FCUL 070108CP4. RNAcentral's name for it is "eukaryotic LSU rRNA". It matches the Rfam family "Eukaryotic large subunit ribosomal RNA", at positions 35 to 969 of the family's 3401-position model. Lineage: Eukaryota; Fungi; Ascomycota; Dothideomycetes; Pleosporales; Didymellaceae. The record is from RNAcentral.
UAAGCAUAUCAAUAAGCGGAGGAAAAGAAACCAACAGGGAUUGCCCUAGUAACGGCGAGUGAAGCGGCAACAGCUCAAAUUUGAAAUCUGGCUCUUUCAGGGCCCGAGUUGUAAUUUGCAGAGGGCGCUUUGGCGUUGGCAGCGGUCCAAGUUCCUUGGAACAGGACGUCACAGAGGGUGAGAAUCCCGUACGUGGUCGCUGGCCUUCGCCGUGUAAAGCCCCUUCGACGAGUCGAGUUGUUUGGGAAUGCAGCUCUAAAUGGGAGGUAAAUUUCUUCUAAAGCUAAAUACUGGCCAGAGACCGAUAGCGCACAAGUAGAGUGAUCGAAAGAUGAAAAGCACUUUGGAAAGAGAGUCAAAUAGCACGUGAAAUUGUUGAAAGGGAAGCGCUUGCAGCCAGACUUGCCUGUAGUUGCUCAUCCGGGCUUUUGCCCGGUGCACUCUUCUGCGGGCAGGCCAGCAUCAGUUUGGGCGGUUGGAUAAAGGUCUCUGUCAUGUACCUCUCUUCGGGGAGGCCUUAUAGGGGAGACGACAUGCAACCAGCCUGGACUGAGGUCCGCGCAUUUGCUAGGAUGCUGGCGUAAUGGCUGUAAGCGGCCCGUCUUGAAACACGGACCAAGGAGUCUAACAKCUAUGCGAGUGUUUGGGUGUCAAGCCCGAGCGCGCAAUGAAAGUGAACGGAGGUGGGAACCCUUUAGGGUGCACCAUCGACCGAUCCUGAUGUCUUCGGAUGGAUUUGAGUAAGAGCAUGGCUGUUGGGACCCGAAAGAUGGUGAACUAUGCUUGAAUAGGGUGAAGCCAGAGGAAACUCUGGUGGAGGCUCGCAGCGGUUCUGACGUGCAAAUCGAUCGUCAAAUUUGGGCAUAGGGGCGAAAGACUAAUCGAACUACUAGUAGCUGGUUCCUGCCGAAGUUC